Molecule: ribosomal RNA, 830 nt
Filed under: Escherichia coli
Lineage: Bacteria; Pseudomonadati; Pseudomonadota; Gammaproteobacteria; Enterobacterales; Enterobacteriaceae
Description: partial 23S ribosomal RNA
Rfam family: Bacterial large subunit ribosomal RNA
Source: RNAcentral
CAUGGUUAAGUGGGAAACGAUGUGGGAAGGCCCAGACAGCCAGGAUGUUGGCUUAGAAGCAGCCAUCAUUUAAAGAAAGCGUAAUAGCUCACUGGUCGAGUCGGCCUGCGCGGAAGAUGUAACGGGGCUAAACCAUGCACCGAAGCUGCGGCAGCGACACUAUGUGUUGUUGGGUAGGGGAGCGUUCUGUAAGCCUGUGAAGGUGUGCUGUGAGGCAUGCUGGAGGUAUCAGAAGUGCGAAUGCUGACAUAAGUAACGAUAAAGCGGGUGAAAAGCCCGCUCGCCGGAAGACCAAGGGUUCCUGUCCAACGUUAAUCGGGGCAGGGUGAGUCGACCCCUAAGGCGAGGCCGAAAGGCGUAGUCGAUGGGAAACAGGUUAAUAUUCCUGUACUUGGUGUUACUGCGAAGGGGGGACGGAGAAGGCUAUGUUGGCCGGGCGACGGUUGUCCCGGUUUAAGCGUGUAGGCUGGUUUUCCAGGCAAAUCCGGAAAAUCAAGGCUGAGGCGUGAUGACGAGGCACUACGGUGCUGAAGCAACAAAUGCCCUGCUUCCAGGAAAAGCCUCUAAGCAUCAGGUAACAUCAAAUCGUACCCCAAACCGACACAGGUGGUCAGGUAGAGAAUACCAAGGCGCUUGAGAGAACUCGGGUGAAGGAACUAGGCAAAAUGGUGCCGUAACUUCGGGAGAAGGCACGCUGAUAUGUAGGUGAAGCGACUUGCUCGUGGAGCUGAAAUCAGUCGAAGAUACCAGCUGGCUGCAACUGUUUAUUAAAAACACAGCACUGUGCAAACACGAAAGUGGACGUAUACGGUGUGACGCCUGCCCGGUGC